CCUACGGGAGGCAGCAGUGAGGAAUAUUGGUCAAUGGACGCAAGUCUGAACCAGCCAAGCCGCGUGCAGGAAGACGGCGCUAUGAGUUGUAAACUGCUUUUGUACGAGGGUAAACGCAGCCACGUGUAUCUGUCUGCAAGUAUCGUACGAAUAAUGAUCGGCUAACUCCGUGCCAGCAGCCGCGGUAAUACGGAGGAUUCAAGCGUUAUCCGGAUUUGUUGGGUUUAAAGGGUGCGUAGGCGGUCUGUUAAGUUAGCGGUGAAAUUCCGGGGCUCAACCUCGGCAUUGCCUCUGACACUGGUCGGAUUGAGGGUAGUAGAGGUAGGCGGAAUGCGUGGUGUAGCGGUGAAAUGCUUAGAGAUCAUGCAGAACACCGAUUGCGAAGGCAGCUUACCGGGGUACUACUGACGUUGAGGCACGAAAGCGUGGGGAGCAAACAGGAUUAGAUACCCCAGUAGUC
This 460-nucleotide ribosomal RNA is filed under the name uncultured bacterium. RNAcentral describes it as "partial 16S ribosomal RNA". It matches the Rfam family "Bacterial small subunit ribosomal RNA", at positions 338 to 795 of the family's 1533-position model. The record is from RNAcentral.